Molecule: ribosomal RNA, 301 nt
Filed under: uncultured bacterium
Lineage: Bacteria
Description: partial 16S ribosomal RNA
Rfam family: Bacterial small subunit ribosomal RNA
Source: RNAcentral
CAGUAGCCACGGGAAAACGAAGGGUGCAAGCGUUAAUCGGAAUUACUGGGCGUAAAGCGUGCGUAGGCGGUUUGUUAAGUCUGCUGUGAAAUCCCCGGGCUCAACCUGGGAACUGCAUUGGUGACUGCAACGCUGGGGUGCGGCAGAGGGGGAUGGAAUUCCGCGUGUAGCAGUGAAAUGCGUAGAUAUGCGGAGGAACACCGAUGGCGAAGGCAAUCCCCUGGGCCUGCACUGACGCUCAUGCACGAAAGCGUGGGGAGCAAACAGGAUUAGAUACCCGCGUAGUCCCUGUCUCUUAUAC